ACUACGGGGGGCAGCAGUGGGGAAUAUUGGGCAAUGGGCGCAAGCCUGACCCAGCAACGCCGCGUGAAGGAAGAAGGCUUUCGGGUUGUAAACUUCUUUUAAGAGGGAAGAGCAGAAGACGGUACCUCUUGAAUAAGCCACGGCUAAAUACGUGCCAGCAGCCGCGGUAAUACGUAGGUGGCAAGCGUUGUCCGGAUUUACUGGGUGUAAAGGGCGUGCAGCCGGGAAGACAAGUCAGAUGUGAGAUCCCGCGGCUCAACCGCGGAACUGCAUUUGAAACUGUUUUUCUGGAGUACCGGAGAGGUCAUCGGAAUUCCUUGUGUAGCGGUGAAAUGCGUAGAUAUAAGGAAGAACACCAGUGGCGAAGGCGGAUGACUGGACGGCAACUGACGGUGAGGCGCGAAAGCGUGGGGAGCAAACAGGAUUAGAUACCCCUGUAGUC
Molecule: ribosomal RNA, 442 nt
Filed under: uncultured bacterium
Lineage: Bacteria
Description: partial 16S ribosomal RNA
Rfam family: Bacterial small subunit ribosomal RNA
Source: RNAcentral